CCUACGGGAGACAGCAGUGAGGAAUAUUGGUCAAUGGUCGGGAGACUGAACCAGCCAAGCCGCGUGAGGGAGGAAGGUACAGAGUAUCGUAAACCUCUUUUGUCAGGGAACAAAGACUGGGACGCGUCCCCGGAUGAGUGUACCCGAAGAAAAAGCAUCGGCUAACUCCGUGCCAGCAGCCGCGGUAAUACGGAGGAUGCGAGCGUUAUCCGGAUUUAUUGGGUUUAAAGGGUGCGCAGGCGGUCUGUUAAGUCAGCGGUAAACGCCCGGGGCGCACCCCCGGCCCGCCGUUGAAACUGGCAGUCUCGAGUGGGAGAGAAGUAUGCGGAAUGCGCGGUGUAGCGGUGAAAUGCAUAGAGAUCGCGCAGAACUCCGAUUGCGAAGGCAGCAUGCCGGCUCCACACUGACGCUGAGGCACGAAAGCGUGGGUAUUGAACAGGAUUAGAUACCCGAGUAGUC
This 459-nucleotide ribosomal RNA is filed under the name uncultured bacterium. Its description in RNAcentral is "partial 16S ribosomal RNA". It matches the Rfam family "Bacterial small subunit ribosomal RNA", at positions 338 to 795 of the family's 1533-position model. The record is from RNAcentral.